AAUGACAUCAAUCAGAUAAAGGAGACAGCCUAUCCCUGAUUCAUCUGAUUGCCAAAGAACCAAAGAAGAUUCAAAGACUUCAAUAGAGAAAACAGCUCCAGAAAUUGCCCCAACAGCAGCUCCUCUAACAAACCCACUCUCUGUUUCUUGGCCAAUCAAUGCUCCAGUCAUGGCUCCAAGCAAAGUCCCCACUAGAGCGAAG
Molecule: unclassified non-coding RNA, 202 nt
Filed under: Hevea brasiliensis (rubber tree)
Lineage: Eukaryota; Viridiplantae; Streptophyta; Magnoliopsida; Malpighiales; Euphorbiaceae
Source: RNAcentral